UAGGGAAUCUUCCGCAAUGGACGCAAGUCUGACGGAGCAACGCCGCGUGAGUGAAGAAGGAUUUCAGUUCGUAAAACUCUGUUGUUAGAGAAGAACAGCGCAUAGAGUAACUGUUAUGCGUGUGACGGUAUCUAACCAGAAAGCCACGGCUAACUACGUGCCAGCAGCCGCGGUAAUACGUAGGUGGCAAGCGUUGUCCGGAUUUAUUGGGCGUAAAGCGAGCGCAGGCGGUCAAUUAAGUCUGAUGUGAAAGCCCCCGGCUCAACCGGGGAGGGUCAUUGGAAACUGGUUGACUUGAGUGCAGAAGAGGAGAGUGGAAUUCCAUGUGUAGCGGUGAAAUGCGUAGAUAUAUGGAGGAACACCAGUGGCGAAGGCGACUCUCUGGUCUGUAACUGACGCUGAGGCUCGAAAGCGUGGGUAGCAAACAGG
RNAcentral lists this ribosomal RNA (429 nucleotides) under Bacteroidota bacterium. RNAcentral describes it as "Bacteroidetes bacterium partial 16S ribosomal RNA". It matches the Rfam family "Bacterial small subunit ribosomal RNA", at positions 355 to 776 of the family's 1533-position model. Lineage: Bacteria; Pseudomonadati; Bacteroidota. The record is from RNAcentral.